AUGAUACCGAACGGAGAAGACUGUUCUUCUCCAUCUCCAGACUGUUUACUUAGCCAUGAAUCCUUUUCUACUUUUGUCUCUUUCAAUAUCUCCGUCUCUACAAGAAGGAGGCUUGUCUCAUUGAGUGUUGCAAAAAAAAAUUGUGAAUUUGGAGAGAAAACCAGAGAGUCUUGCAUAUUCAGAGAUGUUGAUCGAAAGAAAAACAAUGAUGAUUGUUGA
Non-coding RNA from Vicia faba (fava bean), 219 nucleotides. NCBI's taxonomy places the organism in Eukaryota, Viridiplantae, Streptophyta, Magnoliopsida, Fabales, Fabaceae. The record is from the annotation of a GenBank genome assembly.